RNAcentral lists this ribosomal RNA (497 nucleotides) under uncultured bacterium. RNAcentral describes it as "partial 16S ribosomal RNA". It matches the Rfam family "Bacterial small subunit ribosomal RNA", at positions 28 to 507 of the family's 1533-position model. The record is from RNAcentral.
GAUGAACGCUGGCGGCGUGCCUAAUACAUGCAAGUCGAGCGAAAAGAUGAGGAGCUUGUGCCUUUGACGUUAGCGGAGGGCGGGUGAGUAACGCGUGGAUCACGUCCCUAUAUGUCUGGGAUAAUUUCGGGAAACCGGAGAUAAUACGAGAUAAUAUAUUGAACCGUGUGGGGCAAUAGAAAAAGUCGGCUGUGCUGGAUCGACUAGCUGCUUAUGAGCUGUUUGAGCUGGUUGGUAGGGUCAAGGCUUACCAAGGCGACGAUGCGUAACCGAGCGGAGAGAGUGAUCGGCCACACUGGAACGGAGACACGGACCAGACUACUACGAGAGGCAGCAGUAUGGAAUCGUCCGCAAUGGGCGAAAGUCUUACGGAGCAACCCCGCGUGUGUGAUGAAGGUCUUCUGAUCGUAAAGCCCUGUUAUUGGGUAAGAACAAAUGUGGAAUGAGAUAUGGACGUCUUGACGGUACCUAAUCAGAAAGCCCCGGCUAACUACGUG